RNAcentral lists this ribosomal RNA (254 nucleotides) under uncultured bacterium. RNAcentral's name for it is "partial 16S ribosomal RNA". It matches the Rfam family "Bacterial small subunit ribosomal RNA", at positions 524 to 776 of the family's 1533-position model. The record is from RNAcentral.
UACGGAGGAUCCGAGCGUUAUCCGGAUUUAUUGGGUUUAAAGGGUGCGUAGGCGGCCUGGUAAGUCAGGGGUGAAAGACGGUAGCUUAACUAUCGCAGUGCCCUUGAUACUGCUGGGCUUGAAUGUAGUUGAGGUAGGCGGAAUGUGACAAGUAGCGGUGAAAUGCAUAGAUAUGUCACAGAACACCAAUUGCGAAGGCAGCUUACUAAAGUAUGAUUGACGCUGAGGCACGAAAGCGUGGGGAUCAAAACAGG